Molecule: long non-coding RNA, 712 nt
Filed under: Homo sapiens (human)
Lineage: Eukaryota; Metazoa; Chordata; Mammalia; Primates; Hominidae
Description: long independently transcribed non-coding RNA 1483 (LINC01483)
Source: RNAcentral
AUUCCUAAGUCAAGUCUUUGCUGUUACCAUCAAUAACUGCUAACUCAGAGGAUGCAACCUUAGUAAUUCAUUUCCUUAAUGGCCAGUUUCACAAAGAGGCUGCAGGAAGCUGCUUCCAGCAGUCUGAGUCCUGAGGAGGAGACGAUAACAGUGGGAGAAGCACCUGGUAACAGCGGCACUUCAUCCAGGAAGAAAACAGGAUCUAAAAUAUAAACAACAUCCUUACAACACAAAAUAUGAGCGUCCAUCAUGGACCAACCAAUAACUUCAAUAAAAGUGCUGUAUCCCCUGGCAGAUGAUGAGUAUCUUCAAGAUGGUGCCCAAAGGAGAGAGAGAAUAAACUUGAACAUUCUGACUUUGAAGUGCUUGAACAUGAAAGACAGAGAAUUGACCAGAAGCAAGCGUCCUUAGAGUGGGGUCGUCAUAUUUGAGAAAUGUGCUACAGGGAUCUAGCACACUGCAUUGCCUCACAGCUAAAUUCCCACUGGAUUGUUGGUCUGAAUCACCGAUUGAAAAAUCAAAUGUCUUCAGGGACCCGGCAGGAUCCCGAAGGACGCCGCUCUAAGCCAGAGGGAGCGGUGUGUGUUGUGGCUGAAGUGGAAAAUACAAGCCCAGUUUAAGGGCAUUCAAACAUGAAUUGUUUUUUUUAAAGCCGUGCGAGUCAAACAAAACAUGUCAGCAGUUCUUAUUAGGCUAACAGGUUGCUGGUUUG